CCCUUAGAUGUUCUGGGCCGCACGCGCGCUACACUGAUAUUGCCAAUAUGUCAUUCUUAUCCGAAAUGGAUUGGGUAAUCAAGUAAUGAAAUUUCAUGCUUGGAAUCGGUAAUUGCAAUUUUAUCGUGAACGAGGAAUUCCUAGUAAGCACUAGUCAUCAGCUAAUGUUGAUUAUGUCCCUGCCCUUUGUACACACCGCCCGUCGCUACUACUGAUUGGGUGUUCAAGUGAGAUGCUUAGACCCUUGUUGCAUGGUUCAUUAUUGUGCUCCGAAAGGAAAAAGUUUCAAGCUUGAGUGUCUAGAGGAAGUAAAAGUCGUAACA
Molecule: ribosomal RNA, 323 nt
Filed under: uncultured eukaryote
Lineage: Eukaryota
Description: partial 18S ribosomal RNA
Rfam family: Eukaryotic small subunit ribosomal RNA
Source: RNAcentral